This 504-nucleotide ribosomal RNA is filed under the name uncultured bacterium. Its description in RNAcentral is "bacterial SSU rRNA". It matches the Rfam family "Bacterial small subunit ribosomal RNA", at positions 19 to 518 of the family's 1533-position model. The record is from RNAcentral.
CUGGCUCAGGAUGAACGCUGGCGGCGUGCCUAACACAUAGCAAGUCGAGCGAGAAAUCCAUGACGAAUUCUUCGGAUGCCUGAAUGGAUGGAAAGCGGCGGACGGGUGAGUAACGCGUAGGUAACCUGCCCUGUACAAAGGGAUAGCCACUGGAAACGGUGAUUAAUACCUUAUGACACCGCAGCAUCACAUGGUGAAGCGGUCAAAGAUUUUAUCGGUACAGGAUGGACCUGCGUCUGAUUAGUUAGUUGGCGGGGUAACGGCCCACCAAGGCGACGAUCAGUAGCCGACCUGAGAGGGUGAUCGGCCACAUUGGAACUGAGACACGGUCCAAACUCCUACGGGAGGCAGCAGUGGGGAAUAUUGCACAAUGGGCGCAAGCCCUGAUGCAGCAACGCCGCGUGAACGAAGAAGGCCUUUGGGUCGUAAAGUUCUGUUCUGAGGGAAGAAGAAAGUGACGGUACCUCAGGAGAAAGCCCCGGCUAACUACGUGCCAGCCGCGGC